UACGGAGGGUGCAAGCGUUAAUCGGAAUUACUGGGCGUAAAGCGCACGCAGGCGGCUUGUUAAGUCGGAUGUGAAAGCCCCGGGCUCAACCUGGGAAUUGCAUUCGAUACUGGCAAGCUAGAGUAUGUGAGAGGGGGGUAGAAUUCCAAGUGUAGCGGUGAAAUGCGUAGAGAUUUGGAGGAAUACCAGUGGCGAAGGCGGCCCCCUGGCACACUACUGACGCUCAGGUGCGAAAGCGUGGGGAGCAAACAGG
RNAcentral lists this ribosomal RNA (253 nucleotides) under uncultured bacterium. RNAcentral's name for it is "partial 16S ribosomal RNA". It matches the Rfam family "Bacterial small subunit ribosomal RNA", at positions 524 to 776 of the family's 1533-position model. The record is from RNAcentral.